AUUGAACGCUGGCGGCAUGCCUUACACAUGCAAGUCGAACGGCAGCACGGGAGCAAUCCUGGUGGCGAGUGGCGAACGGGUGAGUAAAGUAUCGGAACGUGCCCAGUCGUGGGGGAUAACGUAGCGAAAGUUACGCUAAUACCGCAUACGAUCUAUGGAUGAAAGCGGGGGAUCGCAAGACCUCGCGCGAUUGGAGCGGCCGAUAUCAGAUUAGGUAGUUGGUGGGGUAAAGGCUCACCAAGCCGACGAUCUGUAGCUGGUCUGAGAGGACGACCAGCCACACUGGGACCGAGACACGGCCCAGACUCCUACGGGAGGCAGCAGUGGGGAAUUUUGGACAAUGGGCGAAAGCCUGAUCCAGCCAUGCCGCGUGCAGGAUGAAGGCCUUCGGGUUGUAAACUGCUUUUGUACGGAACGAAAAGGUUUGGGCUAAUAAGCUGAGCUCAUGAUGGUACCGUAAGAAUAAGCACCGGCUAACUACGUGCCAGCCGCCGCAGUAA
This 500-nucleotide ribosomal RNA is filed under the name uncultured bacterium. RNAcentral's name for it is "partial 16S ribosomal RNA". It matches the Rfam family "Bacterial small subunit ribosomal RNA", at positions 30 to 523 of the family's 1533-position model. The record is from RNAcentral.